This 774-nucleotide ribosomal RNA is filed under the name uncultured Neocallimastigales. Its description in RNAcentral is "partial large subunit ribosomal RNA". It matches the Rfam family "Eukaryotic large subunit ribosomal RNA", at positions 24 to 640 of the family's 3401-position model. The record is from RNAcentral. Lineage: Eukaryota; Fungi; Neocallimastigomycota; Neocallimastigomycetes; Neocallimastigales.
GUAGUCUCGCACAGAUGCAUAUCAAUAAGCGGAGGAAAAGAAACUAACAAGGAUUCCCCUAGUAACGGCGAGUGAAGCGGGAAGAGCUCAAAUUUGAAAUCUUAAAGGGUUUCCCUUUACGAAUUGUAGUUUAAAGAAGUGUUUUCUGUUGAGGUUUUGGUAAAAGUUCUUUGGAAUAGGACAUCAUAGAGGGUGAGAAUCCCGUAUUUGACCUUUACUUUCAACUUUGUGAUACACUUUCAAAGAGUCGGAUUGUUUGGGAAUGCAGUCCAAAAUGGGUGGUAAAUUUCAUCUAAAGCUAAAUAUUGGCGAGAGACCGAUAGCGAACAAGUACCGUGAGGGAAAGAUGAAAAGAACUUUGAAAAGAGAGUUAAACAGUACGUGAAAUUGUCAAAAGGGAAGCGUUUGACACCAGUGUUGUUUUCUCGAAAAUCAAUUAAAAAGAGUUUGAUUUUGUUGUGUAUUGACCUUAACAGCUUGCAUUUCAAUUUUCUUGCCUUUUUUAAUGCACUUUUCGUUUAACAAGUCAACAUCAGUUUCUUUUGUUGUAAAAAGGUCAUUGGAAGGUGGCUUUCUUUUCGGAGAAAGUGUUUAUAGCCUUUGACUCCUGCAAUCGGAGAGGCUGAGGUCUGCAGCGUAGAUCCUUCGGGGUUAGAUACAUUUGUGCUAAGUUAUAGCUUUUUAUAGACAACUUGUUGACUAUGAUUAGUCUUGUAGCUUACUCGCUUAUGCUAUUUUACCUACGCUUAGGAUGUUGAUAUGCAUGACUGAUAU